Molecule: ribosomal RNA, 450 nt
Filed under: uncultured bacterium
Lineage: Bacteria
Description: partial 16S ribosomal RNA
Rfam family: Bacterial small subunit ribosomal RNA
Source: RNAcentral
GUGGGGAAUAUUGGACAAUGGGCGAAAGCCUGAUCCAGCCAUGCCGCGUGUGUGAAGAAGGUCUUCGGAUUGUAAAGCACUUUAAGUUGGGAGGAAGGGCAGUAAGUUAAUACCUUGCUGUUUUGACGUUACCGACAGAAUAAGCACCGGCUAACUUCGUGCCAGCAGCCGCGGUAAUACGAAGGGUGCAAGCGUUACUCGGAAUUACUGGGCGUAAAGCGUGCGUAGGUGGUUUUGUAAGUUGGAGGUGAAAUCCCCGGGCUCAACCUGGGAACUGCCUCCAAAACUGCAUGACUAGAGUACGGUAGAGGGUAGUGGAAUUUCCUGUGUAGCGGUGAAAUGCGUAGAUAUAGGAAGGAACACCAGUGGCGAAGGCGACUACCUGGACUGAUACUGACACUGAGGUGCGAAAGCGUGGGGAGCAAACAGGAUUAGAUACCCUAGUAGUCC